GCCUGGCACAGUGGUGUAUGCCUGAAAUCUCUGCAACUCGGGAGGCUGAGGUAGGAGGAUUGCAAGUUUGAGGCCAGCCUCAGCAACUUAAUGAGACCCUAUCUCAA
This 107-nucleotide small RNA is filed under the name Marmota monax (woodchuck). The record is from RNAcentral. Lineage: Eukaryota; Metazoa; Chordata; Mammalia; Rodentia; Sciuridae.